CAGAUUUUUAAUCAUUUAAUG
RNAcentral lists this non-coding RNA (21 nucleotides) under Caenorhabditis elegans. The record is from RNAcentral. Lineage: Eukaryota; Metazoa; Nematoda; Chromadorea; Rhabditida; Rhabditidae.